Molecule: unclassified non-coding RNA, 273 nt
Filed under: Bombus terrestris (buff-tailed bumblebee)
Lineage: Eukaryota; Metazoa; Arthropoda; Insecta; Hymenoptera; Apidae
Description: misc RNA ENSBTSG00005035181.1
Source: RNAcentral
CGUCAAUUAAGGAAGAUCAAUCGACCAGAUUUUACGAAGAUUCCUCGCGGAUUAGGAAAUACUUCACGGAAUUCUGAUUCGCUACAAAGGGAAGGUUAACAUUGCAACGGAAGGAACUCGAAUAAUUUCGAGGAAGCAUCUUUCUUCGUUGCGUUCAAAGGAGCUGCUUCUUCUAUAUUCAUAGAAACGCUCGUACAAUGUAUAAGUCGUAAAAUAGAAUCGCUAAUGACUCGUUAAUUAGAUCGCUGAUAAUUCGUUGAUAACUGGUUGAUA